UGUAGUUCCCGGAAACACACGGGCGGUAGCGGCAGCGGCCCACCCUUUGUGGGUUGGUGCUGGCGUUAAGUCAGUAGAAGUGAAAGGAGUGUGUACCCACACAAAGCUACGAGGCACCCCUUGAUCGUCGAUUCCUGCUAGAACCUGGUGAAGAGGAAACUUCCCUUGCCCUGUAUCAGAAGAGUGAGGCCCCUGGCCGGAUUGAACACCACUGCGGGUGUGAGAAGGAGAGGCCACUUCCUCUAAUCGGGGAUAUAAGAACAACAUUAACUGCAAGAUGGUAUCAUGAGAUAAAGAACCUGAAGUCGGCCAUUUCUCAAUCAAGCCCUGGGAAUAUUGUACCCAAUCCCGAUUACAGUACUUGAUCGUGACUUCCUUUUUCAUAUCCCCAUAGCUGAACUGUUUCCAGUUCUUUAAAAUACAACCCAGUGGUGAACGCUUGGGGAUCGACGGUGCGCCUUGCAUUCUCUAUACAACACGUACACAUAUGCAUCAUGUUUACACUCACUUAAAGCUUUUUUCGCACCAGUGCUACACAUACAUCCACACAGAGACCAGACUAGGACCUGAGGCAACGGAGAUAAUCUUGGCAGCCUCAACCUCCCAGCCAGCCAGCCAGGUGAUGGAGGUGAUCUUGGCUGCCUCAACCUCUCAGACAGCCCCAGCGCCACACACCUAUGGCACUACUGUAUCUCUGAUAUCUAGAUCAACUAACCCUCAGUAACGUUCUUUUUUUUCAUAGUUAAGUUAAUGGCCUGGUAGUAAGGGUCAUUUGUAACUGUCACCUGUUUUUGUAAUGGAAAGAGUGUGUUAAAGAUUUUUCUUGUAUACAACAAAUUAGAGGUUGUAGGAAAGGAGGGUGCUUUUUUUUUUUUUCUUUUGGAUGCUCUGACAGUGGACACUGUCCACCUCAUCUGGGUAGCUUUUUUUUUCCUACACUAGCUGCACUGGUCUCUUUUCAAAGGGGUGUGAAGGCUUCUCUGCUCCUGUGGCCUUGGUCUCCUUCCUUUUCUUUGUUUUCUUGGGGGAUGGCCUUCAGCCUGCAAGGUGGCAGCUAGGAAGGCUGCCUGGUGCUUUUAUUUAUUUAUUUUUAUUUUAUUUUAUUUUUUUAUUGCUGUAAUUAAAUGAAGUUUACAUUUCAAGUUAGUCUCCCAUACAAAAUUUUCAU
This is a long non-coding RNA of Trichechus manatus latirostris (Florida manatee), 1168 nucleotides long. RefSeq lists it as uncharacterized. The record is from RefSeq and is a predicted model, not a curated record. NCBI's taxonomy places the organism in Eukaryota, Metazoa, Chordata, Mammalia, Sirenia, Trichechidae. The transcript is spliced from 3 exons.